GACGAACGCUGGCGGCGUGCCUAAUACAUGCAAGUUGAGCGCUGAAGGUUGGUACUUGUACCAACUGGAUGAGCAGCGAACGGGUGAGUAACGCGUGGGGAAUCUGCCUUUGAGCGGGGGACAACAUUUGGAAACGAAUGCUAAUACCGCAUAAAAACUUUAAACACAAGUUUUAAGUUUGAAAGAUGCAAUUGCAUCACUCAAAGAUGAUCCCGCGUUGUAUUAGCUAGUUGGUGAGGUAAAGGCUCACCAAGGCGAUGAUACAUAGCCGACCUGAGAGGGUGAUCGGCCACAUUGGGACUGAGACACGGCCCAAACUCCUACGGGAGGCAGCAGUAGGGAAUCUUCGGCAAUGGACGAAAGUCUGACCGAGCAACGCCGCGGGAGUGAAGAAGGUUUUCGGAUCGUAAAACUCUGUUGGUAGAGAAGAACGUUGGUGAGAGUGGAAAGCCCAUCAAGUGACGGUAACUACCCAGAAAGGGACGGCUAACUACGUG
Molecule: ribosomal RNA, 497 nt
Filed under: uncultured bacterium
Lineage: Bacteria
Description: partial 16S ribosomal RNA
Rfam family: Bacterial small subunit ribosomal RNA
Source: RNAcentral